This 446-nucleotide ribosomal RNA is filed under the name uncultured Rhodoferax sp. Its description in RNAcentral is "bacterial SSU rRNA". It matches the Rfam family "Bacterial small subunit ribosomal RNA", at positions 933 to 1382 of the family's 1533-position model. Lineage: Bacteria; Pseudomonadati; Pseudomonadota; Betaproteobacteria; Burkholderiales; Comamonadaceae. The record is from RNAcentral.
UGGAUGAUGUGGUUAAUUCGAUGCAACGCGAAAACCUUACCACCUUUGACAUGUACGGAAGCCUUUAGAGAUAGAGGCGUGCUCGAAAGAGAGCCGUAACACAGGUGCUGCAUGGCUGUCGUCAGCUCGUGUCGUGAGAUGUUGGGUUAAGUCCCGCAACGAGCGCAACCCUUGUCAUUAGUUGCUACAUUCAGUUGGGCACUCUAAUGAGACUGCCGGUGACAAGCCGGAGGAAGGUGGGGAUGACGUCAAGUCCUCAUGGCCCUUAUAGGUGGGGCUACACACGUCAUACAAUGGCUGGUACAAAGGGUUGCCAACCCGCGAGGGGGAGCUAAUCCCAUAAAGCCAGUCGUAGUCCGGAUCGUAGUCUGCAACUCGACUACGUGAAGUCGGAAUCGCUAGUAAUCGUGGAUCAGAAUGUCACGGUGAAUACGUUCCCGGGUCUU